This is a non-coding RNA of Oryza meridionalis, 193 nucleotides long. The record is from Rfam. NCBI's taxonomy places the organism in Eukaryota, Viridiplantae, Streptophyta, Magnoliopsida, Poales, Poaceae.
AAAAAGACAAACCCUGAGUUUCCGUGCCAACGUUUGACUCUCCGUGUUAUAUGAAAUUUUUUUAUAAUUAGUAUUUUCAUUGUUGUUAGAUGAUAAAACAUAAUUAAUACUUUAUGCGUGACUUAUCUUUUUAAUUUUUUUAAAUAAGACGGAUGGUUAAACAUUGGACACGGAAACUAUGGUUUGUCUUUUU